GACGAACGCUGGCGGCGUGCUUAACACAUGCAAGUCGAACGGAAAGGCCCUGCUUUUGUGGGGUGCUCGAGUGGCGAACGGGUGAGUAACACGUGAGUAACCUGCCCUUGACUUUGGGAUAACUUCAGGAAACUGGGGCUAAUACCGGAUAGGAGCUCCUGCUGCAUGGUGGGGGUUGGAAAGUUUCGGCGGUUGGGGAUGGACUCGCGGCUUAUCAGCUUGUUGGUGGGGUAGUGGCUUACCAAGGCUUUGACGGGUAGCCGGCCUGAGAGGGUGACCGGCCACAUUGGGACUGAGAUACGGCCCAGACUCCUACGGGAGGCAGCAGUGGGGAAUAUGGCACAAUGGGCGGAAGCCUGAUGAAGCAAGGCCGCGUGCGGGAUGACGGCCUUCGGGUUGUAAACAGCUUUCGCCUGUGACGAAGCGUGAGUGAAGGUAAGGGGUAAAGAAGCACCGGCUAACUACGUG
RNAcentral lists this ribosomal RNA (468 nucleotides) under uncultured bacterium. Its description in RNAcentral is "partial 16S ribosomal RNA". It matches the Rfam family "Bacterial small subunit ribosomal RNA", at positions 28 to 507 of the family's 1533-position model. The record is from RNAcentral.